RNAcentral lists this ribosomal RNA (487 nucleotides) under uncultured bacterium. RNAcentral describes it as "partial 16S ribosomal RNA". It matches the Rfam family "Bacterial small subunit ribosomal RNA", at positions 28 to 523 of the family's 1533-position model. The record is from RNAcentral.
GAUGAACGCUAGCGGAAGGCAUAAUACAUGCAAGUCGAACGGAUGUGGCAAUACAUUAGUGGCGCACGGGUGCGUAACGCGUAUGCAACCUACCUUCACCAGGGGGAUAACUACCCGAAAGGGUGGCUAACACCGCAUAAUACUACUGAAUGGCAUCAUUUGGUAUUUAAAUCCGCGGAGGCUGAAGAUGGGCAUGCGUCUGAUGAGCUAGUUGGGGUGGUAACGGCGAACCAAGGCGACGAUCAGUAGGGGAACUGAGAGGUUGGUCCCCCACACUGGCACUGAGAUACGGGCCAGACUCCUACGGGAGGCAGCAGUAGGGAAUAUUGGUCAAUGGUGGGAACACUGAACCAGCCAUUCCGCGUGCAGGAAGAAGGGUCUCUGACUUGUAAACUGCUUUAGCAAGGGAAGAAAAAGCUCAUGCGUGAGAAAUUGACGGUACCUUGAGAAUAAGCACCGGCUAACUACGUGCCAGCAGCCGCAGUAA